AAAAUAUUGAUGUUAAAAUUGAUGAUGAGGAUAAAGUUGUUUUGUUGGUUGUCUCUUUACCUUCUACCUACAAACAUUUCAAAGAAAUCAUGUUGUAUGGAAAUAAUGAUACCUUAUCCUUUGAAGAUGUUAAAUCUAAUUUAUUGUUCAAAGAAAAAUUUGAUCUUGAAGUUCAUUCUGUGGACAAGGGUGAGGGCUUAAGUGUUAGAGGUAGAACUCAAGAAAAAGGGAGUACCAGUCACAAAAAAUCCAGAUCCAAAUCCAGAGGACGCAAAUCCAACAAAACCUGUCGCUAUUGCAAGAAAUCUGGCCAUGAGAUUUCUGAUUGUUUUAUCUUGAAGAAAAAGCAAGAAAAACAAGAAAAAGGGAAAUCUCCAC
RNAcentral lists this long non-coding RNA (378 nucleotides) under Medicago truncatula (barrel medic). RNAcentral's name for it is "long non-coding RNA (MTRU_LNC001914)". The record is from RNAcentral. Lineage: Eukaryota; Viridiplantae; Streptophyta; Magnoliopsida; Fabales; Fabaceae.